Long non-coding RNA from Bactrocera neohumeralis, 240 nucleotides. RefSeq lists it as uncharacterized. The transcript is spliced from 3 exons. The record is from RefSeq and is a predicted model, not a curated record. Lineage: Eukaryota; Metazoa; Arthropoda; Insecta; Diptera; Tephritidae.
AAGUUCCAGCUCUGCAGCGUUGUAAAUGAGCAAUUUCUCGCUGUUAAAGAGGAUAUCGGGAAGUUAAAAUCAUUUGUCUGUAAAAAGUUGGAUCAAAUGGAACAAACUCAACUUGCCCAUAAUAAAGCUGUAAUGACUGCUCUGGCGGAACAGAAAAUCGUCACGCAAAAGCUAAUUCGCCAGGAGUCAUUUUGAGCGCCAAUCGCAGAGCUUUUCCCACUUUCAAGUAAAGAAAGUCUA